RNA transcript from Oryza sativa Japonica Group (Japanese rice), 2973 nucleotides. It is a transcript of the gene named serine/threonine-protein kinase CTR1, with no coding region annotated. The record is from RefSeq and is a predicted model, not a curated record. Lineage: Eukaryota; Viridiplantae; Streptophyta; Magnoliopsida; Poales; Poaceae.
GCCCCCCCCCCCCCUCUCCUCCCCUUCUCCCCUCCUUGUCAUGCGGCCAUGCCGUCCGUCUCGACAACUCCGUCCGCGAAGGAAUCCCCACCCACGCGGCCACGCCCACGCCCACGCCUCGAUCGCCUCUCCCGCACAUGCGACUUCAGCGCAACUCCGCCACCGCCACGACGCAGCAGCGCGGGUAGACGAUGAAGGCCGACGCCAAGUGGCCCGCGAUGGUGCUCGGCGGCGGCGGCGGCGGCGGGAGGCGUGCCUCGCCAGGGUCUGCGCCUCCGCCCGCCGCGCCCGCUGCCGUGGCGUACAGCCUCCUCGCCACCUCCCCGCCCGCCAGCAUCGGCAACGGUGGCGGCUCGCCGCACUGCGACGACGGCGACGCGUCCCGCGGGCUCGGCGUGGCGGACUGGCUGCGGCUGCAGCGGCACUCGAGCGGGAGCAGCGCCGGCGACGACGGGGAUGGCUUCUCCUCCGUCUCCACCCUCGCCACUGCCGACAAGGGCGGCGACCCCGCCGAUCGCCCGGCCGGCAGCAGCGGCGGCGGCGGCAGCAAGAGCUGGGCGCAGCAGGCGGAGGAGGCGUACCAGCUCCAGCUCGCCCUCGCGCUCCGUCUCUGCUCCGAGGCCUCCACCGCCCCCGACCCCAACUUCCUCGACUCCGCCGUGGCGGCGGCCGACGACCACCACCGCGACGCGCCCUCGCCCCAAUCCCUCUCGCAUCGCUUCUGGGUGAAUGGCAGCUUGUCCUACUCCGACAAGGUCCUGGAUGGCUUCUACCUCAUUCAUGGGAUGGAUCCCUUCGUAUGGACGCUCUGCAAUGACUUGCGCGAUGGCGCCCGAGUGCCCUCGAUCGAGUCGCUCAAGGCUAUGAAUCCCACCGAGUCAUCCGUGGAGGUGGUCCUCAUAGAUAGGGUGGUCGACUAUGAUCUGAGGCAACUGAUAAGCACGGCGAUUGACGUUUCUCGGAGCCGCGCUGACUCAAGGGAAAUCACCACUCGCCUUGCUGGCAUUGUGUCCUCAAAGAUGGGGGGUUCCGUAGCAUCUACCGAAGAACAUGAACUGUGUCCCCGGUGGAGAGACUCUGCCGGGUUCCUGAAGAUUAGUUCAGGUUCUGUUGUGCUUCCAAUUGGGAAGUUAUCAAUCGGUCUUUGCCGGCACCGAUCGUUGCUGUUUAAGACCUUAGCAGACACUAUCAGUCUCCCAUGUCGAGUUGUGAGGGGAUGCAGGUACUGCAAAUCUGCUGGUGCUGCUUCAUGCCUGGUGCACUUUGGUAAUGACAGGGAAUAUCUGAUUGAUUUGAUAGGGAACCCAGGCUUCUUAUCUGAACCUGACUCCCUCUUAAAUGGGCUCUCAUCCAUUUCAGUUUCUUCACCAUUGCGCCCACCAAAAUACAAUUCAGCUGAUAUUGUUAAUAACUUCAAGUCAUUGGCGAAGCAAUAUUUCCUUGAUUGCCAAUCGCUAAAUAUGAUGUUCAAUGAUCCAGCAGCAGUUUCAGGGACGGUUGUUGACUUAGAUGAGGCCAUGGGAUCAAAUAUUGGUCCAAACUUAUCGCCUGCAACAAACAGUGAUUUUCAAGCUAACUUUUCACAUCGUAGUCGUGGUGCCCAGUCCAGUGGUCAAGAUGGCAAUUUUCUUAUUCAGAAGAGUUCUCCUGAGGAUACACAAUCUGCACAAAGUGACCCCUUCAGUGAUAUAUCUCUCGACAUUGAAGACUUGAUUAUUCCUUGGAGUGAACUUGUUUUGAAAGAGAAAAUUGGAGCUGGCUCAUUUGGAACCGUGCACCGUGCGGAUUGGAAUGGCUCGGAUGUUGCUGUAAAGAUUUUGAUGGAGCAAGACUUCCACCCAGAGCGUCUCAAAGAAUUUCUUAGGGAGGUUGCAAUUAUGAAAAGUCUGCGCCAUCCAAACAUUGUCCUUUUUAUGGGUGCUGUUACUCAGCCACCAAAACUUUCGAUUGUGACAGAAUAUCUAUCAAGAGGUAGCCUAUACAGGAUUUUGCACAAGCAUGGUGCAAGGGAAAAUCUAGAUGAGAAGCGGCGAUUGAGUAUGGCUUUUGACGUGGCUAAGGGGAUGAAUUACCUUCACAAGCGCAAUCCUCCUAUAGUCCACCGGGAUCUAAAGUCACCAAAUCUGUUGGUUGAUAAAAAGUACACUGUGAAGGUCUGUGACUUUGGUCUCUCCAGAUUGAAGGCAAACACAUUUUUGUCUUCCAAGACUGCAGCAGGGACUCCUGAGUGGAUGGCACCAGAAGUUAUACGAGAUGAGCCAUCAAAUGAGAAGUCUGAUGUCUACAGCUUUGGUGUUAUCCUAUGGGAGCUCAUGACAUUGCAACAACCAUGGAGUACUUUGAAUCCAGCUCAGGUUGUAGCAGCUGUUGGUUUUAAUGGGCGAAGGCUUGAAAUUCCAAGUAGCGUUGAUCCAAAAGUGGCGGCAAUAAUGGAAUCCUGCUGGACAAAAGAACCCUGGCGACGACCGUCUUUUGCCAGUAUCAUGGAAUCCCUGAAACCUCUAAUCAGAACUCCCCAUCAACUUCAAGAGGAUAUCAGUUAACGGUUCAUGGGUACCUUCAAAACCCUGAAGAUACGAGCCCUUGACAACUUACAAAGGGCUGCAGAUCCUCGUGGCUGUGGCGUUGGUCGUCGUGGAUGGUUGCAGAUCGUGCUGGAUGUGGUGCAUGCAGUGGAGGUCUCGACUGGCGGCGGCGACCAGAUCGGCGUUCGCCUGUGGUUGACGGCGGAGGUGGAGAUUAAUCAUCACCUGGGCUGUCAAUAAGAUGGGCCUCCCAAAGCACUGGGCCAGAUGUACGUACUUGGACUCAAACUCCUAAAUGGGCUCCACUGAUCCAGCCGAUAAUACAUGGACUCAAAAUAAAAUUGGACAAGCAUCUUAUCCUCGCAUGUUCGGACCGGCUGGUUCCUCGCAUGUUUGUAAUCCAGACAUAACAUAAUUUGUUCUAAAAUGGUAGUUCUAGUUUAAUUUA